UACGUAGGGUGCAAGCGUUAAUCGGAAUUACUGGGCGUAAAGCGUGCGCAGGCGGUGAUGUAAGACAGAUGUGAAAUCCCCGGGCUCAACCUGGGAAUUGCAUUUGUGACUGCAUCGCUGGAGUGCGGCAGAGGGGGAUGGAAUUCCGCGUGUAGCAGUGAAAUGCGUAAAGAUGUGGAGGAACACCGAUGGCGAAGGCAGCCCCCUGGGUCAAGAUUGACGCUCAUGCACGAAAGCGUGGGGAGCAAACAGG
RNAcentral lists this ribosomal RNA (253 nucleotides) under uncultured bacterium. RNAcentral's name for it is "partial 16S ribosomal RNA". It matches the Rfam family "Bacterial small subunit ribosomal RNA", at positions 524 to 776 of the family's 1533-position model. The record is from RNAcentral.